CGGCCGGGGCGGGAGCGUCAAGUGCAGAGAGCUGGGGCCUGGGGCGCCGCGAGCCGCCGUAGGGCACGUCCGAACCGGAGCGAGCCUCAUCUGGCUGUCUGGAAUUACAGAUGUGCACCAUCAUGCCUAGUCAGGUGCACACGAGUCCAGUUUAUGCCUCUUGAACAAACUUCACCUCAGAGGGUGAGGCUCCUCGAGGGAGUCUUGUGCCUUCUGCCGAUCCCACCUGCCCUAUCACCCCAGUCACCCCAGCCAACCCAGCCUUGGCUGGACUGCAACUCCCCGUCCCUGUUGCCCCCAAGUCACUCUUGGAUCCUCUUUCUGUCCCAAGACCUCUCUAGCCCUUGUAAACCCUCUCACGCCCUCCACUGUCGCCCCUCUAGGGUGGAGCAGAGCAGCAGCUGCAGGGACCCCCUCACCUCUUCCUUGGCCCACACCCACCAGGCACUCAUCUGGCAGAGGCACAAGCCCCCAGCCGCUCUCCACUCGCUUCCACGCCCAGGCAUCGUCAGAACCUUUCCCAAAGGCCCUGAACCUGCUUCUGCCAAGUCAACCUGGAAAACCCUCAGGCCGGGUUUGACAGCCACAGCCAUGGCUGAAGAUGAAGAUGCUGGGCAAGAACUCCAGAGGCAGUGGCGGGAAGAUCGCUGAGAGGUGGAGGCCAGCCUGGACCACAGAGUGAGUUGGAGACCAGCCUGAACUACAUACCAAGUCCCUGACUAAAAAAAAAAAACAAAAAACAAACAAAAACCACAAAAAGAUACUCUGGCUACAUGAUUUUUACUAAAUAAAAGAAUUAAAAUUAACUUACGUGUUUUUCCCUUUGUAAAAUGUGGCUUCAUUAAAGGCAAUUCUCACUGAUGUAUGUGGCCCAUCGUGAGCACGUGAUAUUCUUCUAGGCCGGUGCUGGCCCAAGACAAGCAAUUUAUAUCCUACUGCUAAAAUGUUUCUGUCUGGAUGUUGUCUCUUCUCCAUGGACUUUGUGCCCUGGUUUUGGCUAUGUCAGGUAGUUCAGUAAAUCUUCAGAGCUGGUCAGGUAACUUUCUCUUCCCAAUGCCUUUAAGCAUGGAAGACAAAGUUCAUGAGUAUAACAUUACAUAGAUUGCAAAAACAGAUUGAAAGAAAAAGGCUCUUUUUUUUUUUUUUUUUUUUUUUUUUUUUUUUUGUUUUUUUUAUACGGGGUC
RNAcentral lists this long non-coding RNA (1184 nucleotides) under Fukomys damarensis (Damara mole-rat). RNAcentral describes it as "lncRNA (ENSFDAG00000032823.1)". Lineage: Eukaryota; Metazoa; Chordata; Mammalia; Rodentia; Bathyergidae. The record is from RNAcentral.